RNAcentral lists this long non-coding RNA (4018 nucleotides) under Sus scrofa (pig). RNAcentral describes it as "lncRNA (ENSSSCG00000063054.1)". The record is from RNAcentral. Lineage: Eukaryota; Metazoa; Chordata; Mammalia; Artiodactyla; Suidae.
CAGGAGACAGUCAAUUAACAUAAGAAAAAUAUUCAGCCUCACAAAUAAUCAGAGAUUCAAAUGAUGAGAUUAUUCAACCACUGUCUUGGCAAAAAUCAAAAAAGGUCUGUUGGAGCAUAAAUCAAUGCAAUCUUUUCCCAAAGCAAUUUGGCACCUGCCACAUGUACCUAUAUUUGGACCCUAUAACCCCCUACUAGGAAUUCACAUCUCAGAAAUACUUGCACAUAUGAACAAAGAUCUAUGUCCUGGAGACUUUGUUCUGCCCUGUUUGUAAGAACAACUUAAGCAGACUCACCACUGGUCAACUGUCUGCAGCAGGGAGAUGGCCAGGCUUUCCACAGAGAAGUUGGUGUCCGUCAAAGGGAUGUGCAGGGCAUUCUUGAAGUUGCUAGUGCCGAUGAGUGGCCAAUUCUGCGUGUGCGUGUGUGUGCGCGCGGCGCGAGUGUGUCUCUGAAAGCUGGAGGGGAGAAUCUGUUCCAUGCCUCCCUCUUAGUUUCUGGUCCUGCCAGUAAUCAUAUAUACAUAUAACCUGACAUGCUAAGCUUUGUCAGAUUCUUUGCUAAGGAACUCAAGACAUCACCCCCAGCUGGCCUCUAGCCUGACCUGCAUUCCGGAACACGGGAAGAGCAUCUAUGGGAAUCCUCCUUCACGAAGUCCUUUGUCUCAAGGGCUUUUCUGGGGAAGCCUCCUGGAGCCCAUCUGUGCUGCUAGAGUGGGCAUCUCAAAAGCACAGGCUGCAGCUGGGGCUGGGUGCUGCAGGAAGGUCCUUGGUUUGGUGAAGAGGGAUCCUGAGUGGGGCUGCAAAGAGGCCAGGAUGUAGGUCCAUUAUUUAAUUUUCUAUGUUAAAAAUUCAGUUGACCAAAAAAAAGAAAAUUGCUCGAUUUAUCACUUCUCCAGAAAUACUAAUUUGGGAAAGCAAGGUGCCAUUUUUCUUAGGAAUACAAUUGACCUGAAGAAUAAGCCAACCAGCGCGGGCCCCCAGGGGUCUUAGGGCCCCUCCCCACCCCUGCCCAGGCCAAGCUCCAGGCAGGAGGCCUUUCUGUCUGUAGGUAGCUCACCUCUUCAGCGAGCCCAGGGUACUGAAAAGUCACCAACUCCUGAGAGGCAGGUGUUUCCUUUGACUCGACAAUUUCUGCAAUUAUGAAAGUUUUGCUAAUUGGUUUAUCAAACAUAGUCAGGUGCCCAUGAGAGGUGUUGGAGGCCAAAGACAAGGUCUCUUUGGAUGCUGCCAAAGAGCUAGAGAAGGGGUGUGGUCACUUAAUGUAGCCCCCCAACGCAAAUUGCCUUAAUCAAGCACAAAAUUAGGUUAAAUCUGGGUGGAUGGAACUGGGUUACUUUUGGGCAAGACUCUUCUGUCUAGAAAACAAAGAAGUUGGACUCAAGAUGGAAUAAUAAAUUGGCUGAGUUCUCCCUCCUGAGUCCAUGGAGACAUCACCAGCUAUUGGUAGGCCUUCCUGCCCAUCCUCAACUGCCUGGGUUCCCAUGACCCAAUGAUUAGAGCGGGCAUUUGAGGGAGAAUCUUUGCCAUCAUAAAAGACUUCUAAUAAUACUUCCAGCACACCUAAUUUCUGACUGUGGUAGACCUCAGGUCCUGGACCAGUAGUCUCUUUGGGCCCAUGUUUUCUCUGUGCCUGGAUUCCUUAUAACUACCAAAGGGUAGGUAUUUAAUAAAUAUUUGUGUUUAUUCACAAAGGUUUGUUGGUAUAUGGAAAUAGUCCACAGAGAAGAGGGGCACCUCAGGUAGCGGGGACUCUGAUCCCCCUUGGGGCCCAAGGCUUCUUCUCACCCCUACUGCCCACACCUUCACUUUCCAUCUGCAUGAUCUUUAUGCAGGACGCCCAAACUGAUGGUGUUUUUGUUUGGUUGGUUGGUUGGUUUUUGUUUUGCCUGUUUGCAUCUGCACUUCAGUGGAGCCGGAGAUGUGACAGUCUCUGGGACAGGUGUCUUUCCUGGGGAGUGACGGUGAACUUCAUAGGGUUUCCCAGCAGCACAGGAUUUGCCUGGACCACAUCUGAAGGCGGCCCUCCAUCGGGGUAGUUUGUACCCUCUCUCCUAACUGAGGAGAAUGAAGCCGUGGCUCGUGACCUCCCUCUCCCCAGGGGAGCCUAGCGACACAAAAAGCAAGUUCCUUAGUGCUCCCCAAGGGCCAAAUGUCCAACUCACCCCAGAGGUAGAAACAGCCUGCCCCACUUCCAGGACUCCUGGGACAUCCCCGGAGCCCAAGGGCUGUGAAUUCACACAGAGGGGUAUUCAAAUCACCAUUCCUGAACAAUAACACAUUCUGACAUCAGUGGGAAUGGCAGAAUAAAGCCCACUGGAAGGAGUUCUGGUCAUGGCUCAACAGAAAUUAAUCUGACUAGCAUCCCUGAGGACACAGGUUUGAUCCCUGGCCUUGCUCAGUGGGUUAAAGAUCCAGCAUUGCCAUGAACUGUGGUGUAGGUUGCAGACUCGGCUCAAAUCUGAUAUUGCUGUGGCUGAGGUGUAGGCCGGUGGCUACAGCUGUGAUUUGACCCCUUACCUAGGAACCUCCAUAUGUCAUGGGUGUGGCCCUAAAAAGACAAAAAACAAAACAACAACAACAACAAAAACACUGAAAAUUCACUCCUCCAUAACAUCCAUGAGAUCACUGGCAAAAAUGAUCAAAAUCAACUUUCUCAUGACACUUUAAAUUACCCCAGGGCUUGCAACUAUCAAGGAGCAAUUAUUCUCUGUGAGAACAGAGUGUUUAAUGGUAUUUUUACUUGCCAGUUCCCACCCCUUUUUCCCCUGCCCCACAGCAACCUAGCAAUCCACCAGCACCACAAUCACAAUGAAAACCAGCAGCCUGACUGCCACUGAAGGGAGCAGAAUGGGGCUGGAUCUUUUCAAAAACCCACCACCAGAGAAAUGUCAUUCUGGCAGUCCCUGGAAACCACACCUGUGGGGCUUAUUCAGGUCAAAUAAAACCUGACUCAGAGCUCACUCCUUAUAACCAGCCUUUACCCAAUGGCAUUUGUUUAAAAAAAAUAGUAAUAAUAAUAAUAAAAAGCAGCUGUGUAACAUGGAAGUUGCCUGAGACAACAGUACCAAUACUGACCAAAGAACUUAAAAGGAGAAGCUGAAUUAUAUCCAUAGGGGUUUCCUAGGAAUCUGGAAAGCCAUGUGCAUAUGUAGCGCUGUCUUUCUGGAAAGACCUAGAAAGCUGUAAGCUCUCACCUCUGACUGACCCUGAGGCCCUGCACAGAUGGAAGGGAAGGCUAAGGCAGGGCAGAAAACUGUCUGCCAGAGUGCUGAGUGUGUACCCCAACUUUACACAGAGCCUGGUGGCAAAGGCUGAGCCUUACUUGUCCAAGACGUUUAUGGAAAUUCCUGUCCAAUCAUUAGCUGACCACUAAGCACACCGAGCAGAGCGUUCAGUGGCCACGUACAACAAGGAAUAUAAAUCUCUGUGAGGAAUGUUACUCAACAGCAAAGAGAAACAUAAACAACAAACGGGGAGGGGGGGACCUAGACAGUAGAGCCUGCAGAAGAGAAAGCAGAGACAGGAAAGCACAGUAGAAGCCUCAGCAAGGAAGCCAUUUCAGGGAGGAGAGAGCAGCACCGCCAGGGGAUCAAAUCGGUAAAGGAGCUGGAGGCCGAAUCUGCAGGGUCUGGAAGGCCAGACUGAGGAACUGCUAUUUCAUCGUAGCAGGUGAGAUAACACAGAAACCUCGAGGAGGAGUUCCCUGGUGGCACAAUGGGUUAAGGAUCCAGCAUUGUCACUGAUGGAGCUCAGGUCACUGCUGCAGUGCAGGUUUGAUCACUAGCCUGGGAUCAAAAAGAAAAUCUCAAUGAGGACUCUUUUUUACCGGCAUGGCCUGCUUGCCUCUCCCCGGACCUAAAAGUCCUACUUUAAAAAAGACAACAAGGAGUUCCUGCUGUGGUACAGCAGAAACUAAUCCAACUAGUAUCCGUGAGGAUGUGGGUUCUACCCCUGGCCUCGCUCAGUGAGUCAAGAAUCUGGUGUUGGUGUGACCUGUGGUGUAGUCCACAGGCGCAG